Ceratitis capitata (Mediterranean fruit fly) is the source of this 1239-nucleotide long non-coding RNA. RefSeq lists it as uncharacterized. NCBI's taxonomy places the organism in Eukaryota, Metazoa, Arthropoda, Insecta, Diptera, Tephritidae. The transcript has 3 exons. The record is from RefSeq and is a predicted model, not a curated record.
UUUCUCACCUCGUGUUCUGUAUAUUCUAGUACUUACUGUUAAUGCCAAUAACUUUACUUUCAAUUUCGAGGCUAACAGUUCUGGUCCUCGUUUUAACUUGGCGUGGAGAUUUUACUCUCCCAACGGUAGUCUGCUUCUAAGAGCAUGCGAAUUACGUUUGAAAAUAGUAUGUAGCAGAAAACGAAAGAAAGUGUCAAAGAAAACCACGUUGCCUUGGGAAAGGAAAGAAAGUGGUCACUGGAAAGGUCUCAAAUAUGGCAACGAAGCUUAUCGACUACUACGAGCAAGGUUUAAACGGUUGGGAUUCGGGUUGAGUUCCUGGUGGGAAAUUGGAGAUAGUGCGGGGAGACCAUUCCGGUGCUCCUUGGAAAUCUUGGCAUUCCUGGUGCUGGCAAACAUCCAUGCAAUAUGGCAUGCUGUCGAAUAUCGUCCAAACACCCUGAGUUUAGCAUCUAACAGAUACUUUAAGUUUAUUACUACCUGAGAAUCGCACUUAUGCAUGUAAGAAAGCACAUACAUAUGUACACACGAUGUCCGUGUACAUAUAUGUAUAAGUACAUGUAAUGGCAAGAAGCAAAAAGCUCAUACUUAAAGUGUGCUGGGGAGAUUAGGAGUAGGAUGGUGCAUGCUUACAUACCAAAUAUCCCUGGAAAACCGCCAUCGCGUAGCUCUUUAUAUCAUAGAUGUAAGCAGUAUUAGAGGGGUAUACCCCGGCGCCCUUCUGAAAGCGGUGUACUUUAAGGACCUGUCAUUUAGCCCAAGGACCAAAGUCUGGUUUCCCUUAAAGUCGAAAUGAUUAAAAAUUUCAAUCCAGAACUGUCUGUUACCGACCGGAAAGUAGUAAAGGUAGAGACUAAUACCAAUGCUACGCGGCAAGCAGUGCUAACGAUUGAUAAGGAAUCACUCCCAGUACCGGAAAUAAAGUGAAGAACACUAAAUAUUGACUUUGACACUUUCACGGUUGUGGUCUGCAGCAAUAACUUCAAGGCGGCGAAGAAUCUGAAUCGGAGGUCAUUGGACGAUCUAUCGAUGGCUAUGCAAAAUGCGCGUUCAGACGCUAAACUGCGGAGGAAGGAGGAACUAAUGUCUUAUGGCGCAGCGAACUACUCUGAAGGAGUCACGCUUUAAAAGUCAAUAUUGAACGUGAAAAAAAAAUUGGGUUCAUCGAAUUCGUUCCUGCAAAAGAAGUCGUGGAGCCCAUUUGAAUGAUGUUAAAUUCAGAACGUAAUUGUAACGAUU